Molecule: long non-coding RNA, 933 nt
Organism: Balaenoptera musculus (blue whale)
Lineage: Eukaryota; Metazoa; Chordata; Mammalia; Artiodactyla; Balaenopteridae
Exons: 3
Source: RefSeq, a predicted model, not a curated record
ACGGGCAGUAGGACGAAAAGGCGGGGCUUGCGGACUGCGCAGGCGCUGGUGGGCUCCGGGUCCUCGAGGCUGCCGGGAAGGGGCGCUGGAGCAGGGGGCGUGUCCCGCGGCCAGAGGUGGCUCGUCGCUGAUUGGGGGUGGGAGCCCGCGGGGCGUGUCCGACCCCGGCCCAGGGUCGACGUUGACCGUGCGAAGGGUAGUGGGUCCGCAUCCUGGCCUUGCGCAUCUUCUGCGCGUCUUGUAGUCGGUUGCUCCCCGAGUCUCCUUGGAACGACUGCCACGUGGCUGUCUCGCCAGCCCUUCCGCCCCACGUCCAGCCUGCCCUAGCGCCGGCUGCCCUGCGCAGUCCUGUCUUCACGCUCCGUCAUCACCCAGCUCUUCUCUCCGCUAGGGCUGACGAGUUCCGCCGCCGUCUUUGCCGCCUGCAGGAUGUGGACCACAGCACAUCUCCUCUCACAGGGGACCUUGCUCCCAUUACCAAGGCUGUCUCCUGCAAGUUCUGGAUUUGGAGCCAAGGCACAGAGAACUUAAGUAGCAGAUGGUGGGAACCAGGUACAGUGGCGGGGCGACACCUGACAUCAUGGCACGCAUCCUCUGUUUGGAUGAAGCUGUAUUUUGUGUCCGUGUGAUAUCUAUUCUUACCAAAAAUACUGCUUACCAGAACUUGCUUUUGUCCACAUUCACCAAAAAAUUACGUUGCUCAGAAAAGGAGACGUCUGUGUUGUAAAAAUGAUUAUGAGUUCAGCAUGUAGUUCUUUCUUUUUCUUUUUGGUUUUGCAAAACACACUAGGAUUUAUGUGGGGCAUUUGCUUCUUUAUUCCCCAAGAUAGUUGCUGAAAAAGACUGGCUGCCUUAAACCCAAGUGACCACAGGAUGUCACCAGUGUUCCAUGAAAAUUCCACCGAAAGGGCAUUUACCUGGUAAUGCAAAACU